GCAUCGAUGAAGAACGCAGCGAAAUGCGAUAAGUANNGUGUGUGAUUGCAGAAUUUCAGUGAAUCAUCGAAUCUUUGAACGCACAUUGCGCCCCUUGGUAUUUCCAUGGGGCAUGCCUGUUUCGAGCGUUCAUU
Molecule: ribosomal RNA, 134 nt
Filed under: Ascomycota sp. A52
Lineage: Eukaryota; Fungi; Ascomycota
Description: partial 5.8S ribosomal RNA
Rfam family: 5.8S ribosomal RNA
About the family: 5.8S ribosomal RNA (5.8S rRNA) is a component of the large subunit of the eukaryotic ribosome. It is transcribed by RNA polymerase I as part of the 45S precursor that also contains 18S and 28S rRNA.
Source: RNAcentral